This 330-nucleotide ribosomal RNA is filed under the name uncultured eukaryote. RNAcentral describes it as "partial 18S ribosomal RNA". It matches the Rfam family "Eukaryotic small subunit ribosomal RNA", at positions 1470 to 1796 of the family's 1831-position model. The record is from RNAcentral.
CCCUUAGAUGUUCUGGGCUGCACGCGCGCUACACUGAAGGAAUCAGCACGUCUUUCUCCUUGUCCGAAAGGACUGGGUAACCCGCUGAACCUCCUUCGUGCUAGGGAUUGGGGCUUGUAAUUCUUCCCCAUGAACGAGGAAUUCCCAGUAAGCGCGAGUCAUAAGCUCGCGUUGAUUACGUCCCUGCCCUUUGUACACACCGCCCGUCGCUACUACCGAUUGGAUGGUUUAGUGAGAUCCUCGGAUUGGUCCCGGAGCGGCCUCUGGUCGUGCCGGAGUGCCGAAAAGAAUGUCGAACUUGAUCAUCUAGAGGAAGUAAAAGUCGUAACA